This 1338-nucleotide ribosomal RNA is filed under the name uncultured bacterium. RNAcentral describes it as "bacterial SSU rRNA". It matches the Rfam family "Bacterial small subunit ribosomal RNA", at positions 27 to 1381 of the family's 1533-position model. The record is from RNAcentral.
GGAUGAACGUUGGCGGCGUGCCUAAUACAUGCAUGUCGAACGAAGACUGUAGUAAUACUGUCUUAGUGGCGAACGGGUGAGUAACGCGUGGGUGACCUGCCCCGAAGUGUGGGAUAACAGUUCGAAAGGAUUGCUAAUACUGCAUAAUAUCCAAGAGAUUAGACGCUUUUGGAUUAAAGGAGUAAUUCGCUUCGGGAGGGGCCCGCGUCCCAUCAGCUAGUUGGUAAGGUAAUGGCUUACCAAGGCGAUGACGGGUAGGGGACCUGAGAGGGUGGCCCCCCACAAUGGAACUGAAACACGGUCCAUACACCUACGGGUGGCAGCAGUAGGGAAUAUUAGUAAUGGGCGAAAGCCUGAACUAGCAACGCCGCGUGUGCGAAGAAGGCCUUCGGGUUGUAAAGCACUUUUUGAGAGGAUGAGGAAGGACGGUACUCUCAGAAUAAGUCUCGGCUAACUACGUGCCAGCAGCCGCGGUAACACGUAGGAGGCAAACGUUAUCCGGAUUUACUGGGCGUAAAGCGCGUGUAGGUGGUUUGGUAAGUAGGGCGUGAAAGCUCCUGGCUCAACUGGGAGAGGACGUUCUAAACUGCCAAGCUUGAGGAUGGUAGAGGGAGGUGGAAUUCCGGGUGUAGCGGUGGAAUGCGCAGAUAUCCGGAGGAACACCAGUGGCGAAGGCGGCCUCCUGGACCACUCCUGACACUCAGACGCGAAAGCUAGGGUAGCAAACGGGAUUAGAGACCCCGGUAGUCCUAGCCCUAAACGAUGUAGACUUGGCGUCGGUGGUUUAAUCGCCAUCGGUGUCGUAGCUAACGCGAUAAGUCUACCGCCUGGGGACUACGGCCGCAAGGUUAAAACUCAUAGGAAUUGACGGGUCCCCGCACAAGCAGCGGAGCGUGUGGUUUAAUUCGAUGCUACACGAAGAACCUUACCUGGGUUUGACAUAGAGGUAGUAGGGAAGCGAAAGCGGACCGACCCUUCGGGGAGCCUCUACAGGUGUUGCAUGGCUGUCGUCAGCUCGUGUCGUGAGAUGUUGGGUUAAGUCCCGCAACGAGCGCAACCCUUGUCCUGUAUUGCCAGCGGAUAAUGCCGGGGACUUGCAGGAGACUGCCGGGGUCAACUCGGAGGAAGGUGGGGAUGACGUCAAGUCAUCAUGCCCCUUAUGUCCAGGGCUUCACACAUGCUACAAUGGCGCGUACAGAGGGCUGCGAGACCGUAAGGUGGAGCGAAUCCCUUAAAGCGCGUCUCAGUUCGGAUUGGGGUCUGCAACUCGACCCCAUGAAGUCGGAGUCGCUAGUAAUCGCAGAUCAGCAACGCUGCGGUGAAUACGUUCCCGGGCCU